Molecule: transfer RNA, 66 nt
Filed under: Anastatus shichengensis
Lineage: Eukaryota; Metazoa; Arthropoda; Insecta; Hymenoptera; Eupelmidae
Description: tRNA-Phe
Source: RNAcentral
AUUUAAAUAGUUUAUCUAAAAUUUAAUAUUGAAGAUAUUAAGAUAAUUUUUAUUAAUUUUUAAAUA